UACAGAGGGUGCAAGCGUUAAUCGGAAUUACUGGGCGUAAAGCGUGCGUAGACGGUUAUUUAAGUCAGGUGUGAAAGCCCCGGGCUCAACCUGGGGAUUGCAUUUGAGACUGAAUAGCUAGGGUGCGGAAGAGGGAAGCGGAAUUUCCGGUGUAGCGGUGAAAUGCGUAGAUAUCGGAAGGAACACCAGUGGCGAAAGCGGCUUCCUGGUCCAGCACCGACGUUCAGGCACGAAAGCGUGGGGAGCAAACAGG
RNAcentral lists this ribosomal RNA (253 nucleotides) under uncultured bacterium. Its description in RNAcentral is "partial 16S ribosomal RNA". It matches the Rfam family "Bacterial small subunit ribosomal RNA", at positions 524 to 776 of the family's 1533-position model. The record is from RNAcentral.